This is a long non-coding RNA of Gossypium arboreum, 624 nucleotides long. RefSeq lists it as uncharacterized. The record is from RefSeq and is a predicted model, not a curated record. Lineage: Eukaryota; Viridiplantae; Streptophyta; Magnoliopsida; Malvales; Malvaceae. The transcript is spliced from 2 exons.
CGAUUUUAAAAAAAAAACAAAAAAUCCUCUGAAAGAGGAUUGAGGGCUGGCCCUCGGAGCUCCGUUGAGUCUCCGUCCACCGGUUCCCACACGCCUACGCGCCGCCCUCAACUCCGCCACAUACGGCGACCGGAAGCUGGAAAGCUUCGUUUUCAACUCAAAUCCAUCGGUACCAGCGAAGAAUCCGGCGGUGAAUGCGCUGGCGUUGAUUCGUGCACCGAUUACGGCGUGAUAUGGCGCUGAAGUCACGAUGUCGAUAGAGGCGUCGAUGAAGGUCACUGGAACGACGCAAAAAGGGUGUGACAAUUAGCGUGCCUGCGGCGCGAAUUCUAGAACCUUCCUUUAGCGUUUGAGGCGCCUAGGGUUUCAAAAACCCUAGGUCUUCCAUCCUCUGUUUGUAAUUUAGGCCUCCUUGGGCCGUGCCCAUUGUGGGUUGGGUGUAACCGGGAAUUGGGUAGUUUAGGUAUUUGGGCUACAAGUGUAAUGGGCCACUGGCUUAAUCUGUAAAUGGAGUGUAAAGGACUUUUUAUUAUUUUUUUUAUUUAUUUCUUUUCUUUUUUUUUGGGCCGGGCAAAUUUGUGUUAUUACAAAACCUAUUACUUGAAUUAUACCUAUGUUUUCAAA